GAUGUACGCUGGCGGCGUGCCUAAUACAUGCAAGUCGAGCGAACAGACGAGGAGCUUGCUCCUCUGACGUUAGCGGCGGACGGGUGAGUAACACGUGGAUAACCUACCUAUAAGACUGGGAUAACUUCGGGAAACCGGAGCUAAUACCGGAUAAUAUAUUGAACCGCAUGGUUCAAUAGUGAAAGACGGUUUUGCUGUCACUUAUAGAUGGAUCCGCGCCGCAUUAGCUAGUUGGUAAGGUAACAGCUUACCAAGGCAACGAUGCGUAGCCGACCUGAGAGGGUGAUCGGCCACACUGGAACUGAGACACGGUCCAGACUCCUACGGGAGGCAGCAGUAGGGAAUCUUCCGCAAUGGGCGAAAGCCUGACGGAGCAACGCCGCGUGAGUGAUGAAGGUCUUCGGAUCGUAAAACUCUGUUAUUAGGGAAGAACAAAUGUGUAAGUAACUAUGCACGUCUUGACGGUACCUAAUCAGAAAGCCACGGCUAACUACGUG
RNAcentral lists this ribosomal RNA (497 nucleotides) under uncultured bacterium. RNAcentral's name for it is "partial 16S ribosomal RNA". It matches the Rfam family "Bacterial small subunit ribosomal RNA", at positions 28 to 507 of the family's 1533-position model. The record is from RNAcentral.